CCUGCUCAGGCUCCCAGGGCUAUUAUGAACAUUUUCUAAAAUUCCAGGCAUGUUGAUCUUUGCACUGUGAUUACUUUUUCAUCAAAACCCACACAGAGGGAUGUGGAGUCACCGUAAUGUGAGUGCUGCUGGGGCAGGGGGUGCCGGUCAUCCCGGAGGUGUGAGGGGCAGGUCCCUGGAGCCUGGCGUCUGGCUCCACCAGGCACUGCACCACGAGCUCCCCGUGACCCGUGAGGUGCCCUUCAAGGCAAGUGUACCUGUUGCCUGGCUCUGGCCCUUUGCCCAACCCAAUGGCUGCUUUGUGGCUGACAGGCAAGUGGAUGUAGCUGGCACCCUUGGGCCAGCCCAGCCUCCAUUUCUCCAGCUGUCCCCGGAGCCAACAUGCCUCUCCUUUGCAGUCACACGGAAGCUCUGCAGCCUGGACAACGGGGACUGUGACCAGUUCUGCCACGAGGAACAGAACUCAGUGGUGUGCUCCUGCGCCCGCGGGUACACCCUGGCUGACAACAGCAAGGCCUGCAUUCCCACAGGGCCCUACCCCUGUGGGAAACAGACCCUGGAACGCAGGAAGAGGUCAGUGGCCCAGGCCACAAACAGUAGCAGGGAGGCCCCUAACAACAUCACAUGGAAGCCGUAUGACGCAGCUGACCUGGACCCCACCGAGAACCCCUUCGACCUGCUUGACUUCAACCAGACGCAGCCCGAGAGGGGUGACAACAACCUCGUCAGGAUCGUGGGAGGCCGGGAAUGCAAGGACGGGGAGUGUCCCUGGCAGGCCCUGCUCAUCAAUGAGGAAAAUGAGGGGUUCUGUGGUGGAACCAUUCUGAGCGAGUUCUACAUCCUAACGG
RNAcentral lists this small RNA (848 nucleotides) under Pongo abelii (Sumatran orangutan). Its description in RNAcentral is "retained intron". Lineage: Eukaryota; Metazoa; Chordata; Mammalia; Primates; Hominidae. The record is from RNAcentral.